GGAGAGUAGGCAAAUAUUGGUUGGUUGCACUUGCCUGCUAAGCAAGUUUACGCCUAAGCGUAAUGAAAGUUCAAUUCUUUUGCUCUCCG
Molecule: transfer RNA, 89 nt
Filed under: Bacteroidota bacterium
Lineage: Bacteria; Pseudomonadati; Bacteroidota
Also listed under: 1 other name
Description: Bacteroidetes bacterium (activated sludge metagenome) tRNA-Ser
Rfam family: tRNA
About the family: Transfer RNA (tRNA) molecules are approximately 80 nucleotides in length.
Source: RNAcentral